RNAcentral lists this non-coding RNA (45 nucleotides) under Schistosoma margrebowiei. Lineage: Eukaryota; Metazoa; Platyhelminthes; Trematoda; Strigeidida; Schistosomatidae. The record is from RNAcentral.
AUUCAACUGACGAGUCUCAAAUAGGAUGAGACGCGCAUCCUGUAU